UACGUAGGGGGCUAGCGUUGUCCGGAUUUAUUGGGCGUAAAGAGCUCGUAGGUGGUUCGGUAAGUCGGAUGUGAAAUCUCCAGGCUCAACCUGGAGGGGUCAUUCGAUACUGCCGUGACUAGAGUUCGGUAGAGGAGUGUGGAAUUCCAGGUGUAGCGGUGAAAUGCGUAGAUAUCUGGAGGGACACCGGUGGCGAAGGCGGCAUCCUGGACCGACACUGACGCUGAGGAGCGAAAGCCAGGGGAGCAAACGGG
Molecule: ribosomal RNA, 254 nt
Filed under: uncultured bacterium
Lineage: Bacteria
Description: partial 16S ribosomal RNA
Rfam family: Bacterial small subunit ribosomal RNA
Source: RNAcentral